GAUCAUAGCUCAGGAUGAACGCUAGCUACAGGCUUAACACAUGCAAGUCGAGGGGCAGCAUGGUCUUAGCUUGCUAAGGCCGAUGGCGACCGGCGCACGGGUGAGUAACACGUAUCCAACCUGCCGUCUACUCUUGGACAGCCUUCUGAAAGGAAGAUUAAUACAAGAUGGCAUCAUGAGUCCGCAUGUUCACAUGAUUAAAGGUGUUCCGGUAGACGAUGGGGA
RNAcentral lists this ribosomal RNA (225 nucleotides) under uncultured bacterium. RNAcentral's name for it is "partial 16S ribosomal RNA". It matches the Rfam family "Bacterial small subunit ribosomal RNA", at positions 15 to 231 of the family's 1533-position model. The record is from RNAcentral.